RNAcentral lists this ribosomal RNA (396 nucleotides) under uncultured bacterium. RNAcentral describes it as "bacterial SSU rRNA". It matches the Rfam family "Bacterial small subunit ribosomal RNA", at positions 32 to 410 of the family's 1533-position model. The record is from RNAcentral.
AAUCAACGCUGGCGGCGUGCCUAACACAUGCAAGUCGAACGAGAAAGUGACUUCGGUCACUGGACAGUGGCGUCCGGGUGAGUAACACGUGGGUAAUCUACCUUCGGGUGGGGAAUAACGUCUCGAAAGAGACGCUAAUACCGCAUAAUGCAGCGGCACCUUAUGGUGAAUAGUUGUUAAAGCGGGGGAUCGCAAGACCUCGCGCCUGAAGAGGAGCCUGCGGCAGAUUAGCUAGUUGGUGAGGUAAUGGCUCACCAAGGCUGCGAUCUGUAGCUGGUCUGAGAGGACGGCCAGCCACACUGGCACUGACACACGGGCCAGACUCCUACGGGAGGCAGCAGCGGGAAUUUUGGGCAAUGGGCGCAAGCCUGACCCAGCAACGCCGCGUGAGGGAGG